RNAcentral lists this non-coding RNA (29 nucleotides) under Rattus norvegicus (Norway rat). The record is from RNAcentral. Lineage: Eukaryota; Metazoa; Chordata; Mammalia; Rodentia; Muridae.
UCACUGUUGAUUGGCCAGACGGCAGCAGG